GAUGAAGAACGUAGCGAAAUGCGAUAAGUAGUGUGAAUUGCAGAAUUCAGUGAAUCAUCGAAUCUUUGAACGCACAUUGCGCCCUUUGGUAUUCAAAAGGGCAUGCCUGUUCGAGCGUCAUUUGUACCCUCAAGCUUUGCUUGGUGUUGGGCGUCUUGUCUCUAGCUUUGCUGGAGACUCGCCUUAAAGUAAUUGGCAGCCGGCCUACUGGUUUCGGAGCGCAGCACAAGUCGCACUCUCUAUCAGCAAAGGUCUAGCAUCCAUUAAGCCUUUUUUUCAACUUCUGACCUCGGAUCAGGUAGGGAUACCCGCUGAACUUAAGCAUAUCAAUAAGCGGAGGA
This 341-nucleotide unclassified non-coding RNA is filed under the name soil metagenome. Its description in RNAcentral is "partial contains 5.8S ribosomal RNA, internal transcribed spacer 2, and large subunit ribosomal RNA". The stretch from base 1 to 120 matches the Rfam family "5.8S ribosomal RNA", at positions 35 to 154 of the family's 154-position model. The record is from RNAcentral.